ACCACGCUCUUCCGCUCCUGAAGAUACAUGUUAUGAUUAACCAGACGUGGACUGCACGACUCAGAAAUUAAGGAAUGUCGGGGGACUCUUGAAGAGGGAUCUGAUGAUAAUUUGGAGUGUUCAAAUCAGGUGGUAACAUAAGCCCCUUGCUUCCAGAACAGCAUGGAACGUGCCAAGACGUGUGGCGGGGUGAUAGAAGUCGUUAACCAGAGUCACGAAUGAAUGACACUUGCUGACUUCUCACGCUAACCCUGUGACAUAUUAACAUAAAUCUAAAAUAUUCGAACAUCUGAGCGUGUACUUGUGACAGCUCCCAAACAUUCACAUCCAGGAAGGGCAUUUGCAGCUUUUGAGUGUGUGUGCGGUGCAAAGGGGAUGCUGACCUCCACCCACACUCCAUCUGGCUGC
Non-coding RNA from Vicugna pacos (alpaca), 408 nucleotides. NCBI's taxonomy places the organism in Eukaryota, Metazoa, Chordata, Mammalia, Artiodactyla, Camelidae. The record is from RefSeq and is a predicted model, not a curated record.